Molecule: long non-coding RNA, 1221 nt
Organism: Glossina fuscipes
Lineage: Eukaryota; Metazoa; Arthropoda; Insecta; Diptera; Glossinidae
Exons: 3
Source: RefSeq, a predicted model, not a curated record
AGGGUGUUAUUUUCGCCUCGACAUUUUUGGAUCAUCUCUUUCUUUCAAUGUUCCGUCUACAGUUCUUAGUCAGACACGUUCCUUUGCGUCUUUGCGACCCUGUCCUACUAAUUAUCAUUUCGUGUCUAAUGUGUGCUUACCACAAUUACCACAACCUUGAACCCGUUCUUUUGUCCCUGCAGUGUAAUUUAAAAAAAUAUAUUGAUUCGUUAGUCCUCACCUUAGUGUAAAUUAAAUAAAUGCUUUUCUUUGUGUAAUGCUUUAGUUUCAAGAUCGGUGAUGUAGUUUCCCAUACUAACUUUUUUUAAUCCCAUUCGUUACGUUAGCUGACAAGUAUGCUUCGUAACGUUAGCAAUGUUAAAUCGAUAAAUGAAUAAAUCAAUAAAUCAAUAUUAAAUUCUAGGAACUGUGUUAGGACCUCUUUGACACAAAAUAGCCAUUGCAUCCUUAACCCUGAAACCCAAAUCUAGGUUUUACGCGACAUUUUUUUCCCGAAAUAAAGAAUCUGUUGACGACAGAAUUGAUCGCACUGUCAAUUCUGGUAAUAAAUAUGAGAAAAAAUUGGUAGAAGAGCGAGUGGGGAGAGCUGGCAGCCUCUUUGGAAAAAAAAAAAAAAAACAAAAAAUUUGAUCUCUUCAUAAGCUUGCAAUUCCUUGGUGGCAUAUGUGCGUAGACGAUUCAGUUCACAGGAGUCCUACAUAAAUGCUAGACAUAGACACAUAAUAUUUUAUUUAAAUGCAAAACUUUCCUGUUUAUUGAAAUUUUAACAGAAUUUUGUGAACACAAGCCCCUCUACCUAUUACUCUUUUAUAUUAAUUUUGAUUUUCCUCUUCUUCUUUUUUUCUUACAAUCCUUUUUUGCAAAUCAUGUCUACUGAGUAUUCUUUGAGUCAAAGUCAAAUGCUUCGUUAACCGUGGUAUUGGGAGCAUUACGAAGGAUUUUCCGCCGAAAGAAUGGAAGCAUUCCGAGCACUGUCAGCGUUAACGUCCAACUCCCCCAACCUGAUGGCUGACAUUGGUUGUGGGCAAGAAUGCGUUAUCGAGUCUCAAGUUAAGCUAUUUUAACUACGGGCUAUUUUAAUCGAUGAUUAUCAUCAAUGACGGCUCAUCAAGAGCCACAAAGUAGCUUUUGACUAAAACAUGAAACCCAACUCAAAUAAAUCAACAGCAUUCGAAGUAAUUGUUAUACUAAUCAAUAUUAAAAACUAAUACAAAAUAUAUA